RNAcentral lists this ribosomal RNA (490 nucleotides) under uncultured bacterium. RNAcentral describes it as "partial 16S ribosomal RNA". It matches the Rfam family "Bacterial small subunit ribosomal RNA", at positions 30 to 507 of the family's 1533-position model. The record is from RNAcentral.
AUUGAACGCUGGCGGCAGGCUUAACACAUGCAAGUCGAACGGCAACAUAGAGAAGCUUGCUUCUUUGAUGACGAGUGGCGGACGGGUGAGUAAUGCUUGGGAAUCUGGCCUAUGGAGGGGGAUAACUACGGGAAACUGUAGCUAAUACCGCGCAAUAUCGAAAGAUUAAAGUGUGGGACCUUUGGGCCACAUGCCCUAGGAUGAGCCCAAGUGGGAUUAGGUAGUUGGUGAGGUAAAGGCUCACCAAGCCGACGAUCUCUAGCUGGUCUGAGAGGAUGACCAGCCACACUGGAACUGAGACACGGCCCAGACUCCUACGGGAGGCAGCAGUGGGGAAUAUUGCGCAAUGGGGGCAACCCUGACGCAGCCAUGCCGCGUGGAUGAAGAAGGCCUUCGGGUUGUAAAGUUCUUUCGGUAGCGAAGAAGGUGGUUAGUUUAAUAGGCUAGCCAAUUGACGUUAACUACAGAAGAAGCACCGGCUAACUCCGUG